Molecule: ribosomal RNA, 253 nt
Filed under: uncultured prokaryote
Description: partial 16S ribosomal RNA
Rfam family: Bacterial small subunit ribosomal RNA
Source: RNAcentral
UACGUAGGGUGCGAGCGUUAAUCGGAAUUACUGGGCGUAAAGCGUGCGCAGGCGGCUUUGCAAGACAGAUGUGAAAUCCCCGGGCUCAACCUGGGAACUGCAUUUGUGACUGCAAGGCUAGAGUACGGCAGAGGGGGAUGGAAUUCCGCGUGUAGCAGUGAAAUGCGUAGAUAUGCGGAGGAACACCGAUGGCGAAGGCAGCUUACCAAAGUGUGAUUGACGCUGAGGCACGAAAGCGUGGGGAUCAAACAGG